GCACUACUGAGAAGUCCCACAAUAGGACGAAACAGCUGUUCAGUGC
Molecule: non-coding RNA, 46 nt
Filed under: Schistosoma bovis
Lineage: Eukaryota; Metazoa; Platyhelminthes; Trematoda; Strigeidida; Schistosomatidae
Also listed under: 1 other name
Source: RNAcentral